UCCUUUUUGUCACGCUUUAGACUGAUGUACGGUCACAUUGGAUUUGAAAACGACAUCCUUUCUUCCAUAGAUCCACGCUACCUGAAAGAAGGCCGCCUUCUGAAUCCAACGAUACCAGUUAUGUGCACAUCGGACCUACGCUUCAAAAGAUACGGACAGAUCCACGCUACCUGAAAGAAGGCCGCCUUCUGAAUCCAACGAUACCAGUUAUGUGCACAUCGGACCUACGCUUCAAAAGAUACGGACAGAUCCACGCUACCUGAAAGAAGGCCGCCUUCUGAAUCCAACGAUACCAGUUAUGUGCACAUCGGACCUACGCUUCAAAAGAUACGGACAGAUCCACGCUACCUGAAAGAAGGCCGCCUUCUGAAUCCAACGAUACCAGUUAUGUGCACAUCGGACCUACGCUUCAAAAGAUACGGACAGAUCCACGCUACCUGAAAGAAGGCCGCCUUCUGAAUCCAACGAUACCAGUUAUGUGCACAUCGGACCUACGCUUCAAAAGAUACGGACAGGUA
Molecule: long non-coding RNA, 518 nt
Organism: Carassius gibelio (silver crucian carp)
Lineage: Eukaryota; Metazoa; Chordata; Actinopteri; Cypriniformes; Cyprinidae
Exons: 5
Source: RefSeq, a predicted model, not a curated record